This 395-nucleotide ribosomal RNA is filed under the name uncultured bacterium. RNAcentral's name for it is "partial 16S ribosomal RNA". It matches the Rfam family "Bacterial small subunit ribosomal RNA", at positions 523 to 918 of the family's 1533-position model. The record is from RNAcentral.
AUACGUAGGGUGCAAGCGUUAAUCGGAAUUACUGGGCGUAAAGCGUGCGCAGGCGGUUUUGUAAGACAGUGGUGAAAUCCCCGGGCUCAACCUGGGAACUGCCAUUGUGACUGCAAGGCUGGCGUGCGGCAGAGGGGGAUGGAAUUCCGCGUGUAGCAGUGAAAUGCGUAGAUAUGCGGAGGAACACCGAUGGCGAAGGCAAUCCCCUGGGCCUGCACUGACGCUCAUGCACGAAAGCGUGGGGAGCAAACAGGAUUAGAUACCCUGGUAGUCCACGCCCUAAACGAUGUCAACUGGUUGUUGGGGAUUUAUUUUCUCAGUAACGAAGCUAACGCGUGAAGUUGACCGCCUGGGGAGUACGGCCGCAAGGUUAAAACUUAAAGGAAUUGACGGGG